GUCUCCGUAGCUCAGCUGGAUAGAGCACGCGCCUCCUAAGCGGAAGGUUGUUCGAAUCCAUUAACCCACAA
This 71-nucleotide transfer RNA is filed under the name Ethanoligenens harbinense YUAN-3. Its description in RNAcentral is "tRNA-Arg". Lineage: Bacteria; Bacillati; Bacillota; Clostridia; Eubacteriales; Oscillospiraceae. The record is from RNAcentral.